GACGGAGGAUGCAAGCGUUAUCCGGAAUUAUUGGGCGUAAAGCGUACGCAGGUGGCUCGACAAGUCUUUUGUUAAAGCGCAGAGCUUAACUCUGUAAAGGCGGAGGAAACUGUUGAGCUAGAGUAUGGUAGGGGCAGGAGGAAUUCCCGGUGUAGCGGUGAAAUGCGUAGAUAUCGGGAAGAACACCAGCGGCGAAAGCGUCCUGCUAAGCCAAAACUGACACUCAUGUACGAAAGCUAGGGGAGCGAAUGGG
This 253-nucleotide ribosomal RNA is filed under the name uncultured bacterium. Its description in RNAcentral is "partial 16S ribosomal RNA". It matches the Rfam family "Bacterial small subunit ribosomal RNA", at positions 524 to 776 of the family's 1533-position model. The record is from RNAcentral.